This 346-nucleotide ribosomal RNA is filed under the name uncultured bacterium. RNAcentral describes it as "partial 16S ribosomal RNA". It matches the Rfam family "Bacterial small subunit ribosomal RNA", at positions 338 to 681 of the family's 1533-position model. The record is from RNAcentral.
CCUACGGGUGGCAGCAGUGAGGAAUAUUGGUCAAUGGGCGGAAGCCUGAACCAGCCAAGUAGCGUGCAGGAUGACGGCCCUACGGGUUGUAAACUGCUGUUAUACGGGAAUAACGCGCCUUACGUGUAGGGCUUUGCAUGUACCGUAUGAAUAAGGACCGGCUAAGUCCGUGCCAGCAGCCGCGGUAAUACGGAAGGUCCGGGCGUUAUCCGGAUUUAUUGGGUUUAAAGGGAGCGUAGGCCGCAUGUCAAGCGUGCUGUGAAAUGUCCGGGCUCAACCCGGGCCUUGCAGCUCGAACUGGCGUGCUUGAGUCCGCGGCAAGCAGGCUGAAUUCGUCGUGUAGCGG